Molecule: ribosomal RNA, 583 nt
Filed under: uncultured bacterium
Lineage: Bacteria
Description: bacterial SSU rRNA
Rfam family: Bacterial small subunit ribosomal RNA
Source: RNAcentral
GCCCUUCCUACGGGAGGCAGCAGUAGGGAAUUUUCGGCAAUGGGGGAAACCCUGACCGAGCAACGCCGCGUGAACGACGAAGUACUUCGGUAUGUAAAGUUCUUUUAAGAGGGAAGAAUGGCCCGUGGAAAAGCGGGCGUGACGGUACCUUUUGAAUAAGCCCCGGCUAACUAUGUGCCAGCAGCCGCGGUAAUACAUAGGGGGCAAGCGUUAUCCGGAAUUAUUGGGCGUAAAGGGUGCGUAGGUGGCUAUUUAAGUCUUUGGUGUAAGUUCAGCGCUCAACGCUGUGAUGCUAAAGAAACUGGGUGGCUUGAGUGUGGUAGAGGCAAGUGGAAUUCCAUGUGUAGCGGUAAAAUGCGUAAAUAUAUGGAGGAACACCGGUGGCGAAGGCGGCUUGCUGGGCCACAACUGACACUGAAGCACGAAAGCGUGGGGAGCAAACAGGAUUAGAUACCCUGGUAGUCCAUGCCGUAAACGAUGAGUACUAAGUGUAGGGGAAACUCUGUGCUGUAGUUAACGCAAUAAGUACUCCGCCUGAGUAGUACGACGCAAGUAUGAAACUCAAAGGAAUUGACGGAAGGGC